AGCAGUGGGGAAUUUUGGACAAUGGGCGCAAGCCUGAUCCAGCAAUGCCGCGUGAGUGAAGAAGGCCUUCGGGUUGUAAAGCUCUUUUGUCAGGGAAGAAACGGUGAGGGCUAAUAUCCUUUGCUAAUGACGGUACCUGAAGAAUAAGCACCGGCUAACUACGUGCCAGCAGCCGCGGUAAUACGUAGGGUGCAAGCGUUAAUCGGAAUUACUGGGCGUAAAGCGUGCGCAGGCGGUUGUGCAAGACCGAUGUGAAAUCCCCGGGCUUAACCUGGGAAUGGCAUUGGUGACUGCACGGCUAGAGUGUGUCAGAGGGGGGUAGAAUUCCACGUGUAGCAGUGAAAUGCGUAGAGAUGUGGAGGAAUACCGAUGGCGAAAGCAGCCCCCUGGGAUAACACUGACGCUCAUG
This 409-nucleotide ribosomal RNA is filed under the name uncultured bacterium. Its description in RNAcentral is "bacterial SSU rRNA". It matches the Rfam family "Bacterial small subunit ribosomal RNA", at positions 350 to 751 of the family's 1533-position model. The record is from RNAcentral.